GAUGAACGCUGGCGGCGUGCCUAAUACAUGCAAGUCGAGCGAACAGACGAGGAGCUUGCUCCUCUGACGUUAGCGGCGGACGGGUGAGUAACACGUGGAUAACCUACCUAUAAGACUGGGAUAACUUCGGGAAACCGGAGCUAAUACCGGAUAAUAUAUUGAACCGCAUGGUUCAAUAGUGAAAGACGGUUUUGCUGUCACUUAUAGAUGGAUCCGCGCCGCAUUAGCUAGUUGGUAAGGUAACGGCUUACCAAGGCAACGAUGCGUAGCCGACCUGAGAGGGUGAUCGGCCACACUGGAACUGAGACACGGUCCAGACUCCUACGGGAGGCAGCAGUAGGGAAUCUUACGCAAUGGGCGAAUGCUUGACGGAGCAACGCCGCGUGAGUGAUGAAGGUCUUCGGAUCGUAAAACGCUGUUAUUAGGGGAGAACAAAUGUGUAAGUAACUAUGCACGUCUUGACGGUACCUAAUCAGAAAGCCACGGCUAACUACGUG
Molecule: ribosomal RNA, 497 nt
Filed under: uncultured bacterium
Lineage: Bacteria
Description: partial 16S ribosomal RNA
Rfam family: Bacterial small subunit ribosomal RNA
Source: RNAcentral